Molecule: ribosomal RNA, 253 nt
Filed under: uncultured bacterium
Lineage: Bacteria
Description: partial 16S ribosomal RNA
Rfam family: Bacterial small subunit ribosomal RNA
Source: RNAcentral
GACAGAGGCCACGAACGUUGUUCGGAAUCACUGGGCAUAAAGCGCACGUAGGCGGCUAGGUCCGUCCAAUGUGAAAGCCCCCGGCUCAACCGGGGAAUUGCAUCGGAUACAGCCUGGCUCGAGGACGGUUGGGGUGAGUGGAACUCCUGGUGGAGCGGUGAAAUGCGUAGAUAUCAGGAGGAACACCGGUGGCGAAAGCGGCUCACUGGACCGUUACUGACACUCAGGUGCGACAGCGUGGGGAGCAAACAGG